This 85-nucleotide transfer RNA is filed under the name Felis catus (domestic cat). It matches the Rfam family "tRNA". Rfam says of the family: Transfer RNA (tRNA) molecules are approximately 80 nucleotides in length. Their secondary structure includes four short double-helical elements and three loops (D, anti-codon, and T loops). The record is from Rfam by way of RNAcentral. Lineage: Eukaryota; Metazoa; Chordata; Mammalia; Carnivora; Felidae.
GCCUGGGUAGCUCAGUCAGUUAAGCAUCUGAUUUCGGCUCAGGUCAUGAUCUCACAGUUUGUGGGUUCAAGUCCUGCAUCAGGCU